This 588-nucleotide small RNA is filed under the name Pan troglodytes (chimpanzee). Its description in RNAcentral is "processed transcript". Lineage: Eukaryota; Metazoa; Chordata; Mammalia; Primates; Hominidae. The record is from RNAcentral.
CAGCACCAGUUUUGCCGUAGCUGCUGGGAGCAGCACUGCUCAGUUCUCGUCAAGGACGGCGUGGGCGUGGGAGUCUCUUGUAUGGCUCAGGACUGUCCACUCCGUACACCAGAGGACUUUGUGUUUCCAUUGCUUCCCAAUGAAGAAUUGAGAGAGAAAUACAGGCGCUACCUCUUCAGGGACUAUGUGGAGAGUCAUUACCAGCUCCAGCUGUGCCCUGGUGCAGACUGCCCCAUGGUUAUUCGGGUACAGGAGCCUAGAGCUCGCCGAGUACAGUGCAAUCGGUGCAACGAGGUCUUCUGGUAAGAGUGAGUGUGAGUGCUGAGCAGCCCUGGGCUCAUGCCCCAUCCUCCAAAGCACCACUGCUGUUGCUCCAUGUGAGGGCGGCACUGGAAGAGGCAGGGUCUCUGAGCCAACAGAGCAGCUGUGCUCCAAGUGGUUUCAAGUGUCGUCAGAUGUAUCACGCACCCACAGACUGUGCCACAAUCCGGAAAUGGCUCACGAAGUGUGCAGACGACUCUGAAACAGCCAACUACAUUAGUGCUCACACUAAAGACCCUCAGCGACCUGCCACAUUUAAGUGAGAUG